RNAcentral lists this ribosomal RNA (153 nucleotides) under uncultured bacterium. RNAcentral describes it as "partial 16S ribosomal RNA". It matches the Rfam family "Bacterial small subunit ribosomal RNA", at positions 571 to 723 of the family's 1533-position model. The record is from RNAcentral.
GUAGGCCGACGUAUGAGUGUGAUGUGAAAGCCCUGGGCUUAACCUAGAAAGCGCAUCGCAAACGAUAUGUCUGGAGUAGAUGAGAGGGUGGCGGAAUUUCCGGUGUAGCGGUGAAAUGCGUAGAGAUCGGAAGGAACGUCGAUGGCGAAGGCC